This 443-nucleotide ribosomal RNA is filed under the name uncultured bacterium. RNAcentral's name for it is "partial 16S ribosomal RNA". It matches the Rfam family "Bacterial small subunit ribosomal RNA", at positions 338 to 795 of the family's 1533-position model. The record is from RNAcentral.
CCUACGGGUGGCAGCAGUGGGGCAUAUUGGGCAAUGGGCGCAAGCCUGACCCAGCAACGCCGCGUGAAGGAAGAAGGCUUUCGGGUUGUAAACUUCUUUUCUCAGGGACGAAGCAAGUGCCGGUACCUGAGGACUAAGCCACGGCUAACUACGUGCCAGCAGCCGCGGUAAUCCGUAGGUGGCAAGCGUUCUCCGGAUUUACUGGGUGUAAAGGGCGUGUAGGCGGGACUGCAAGUCAGAUGUGAAAACCACGGGCUCAACCUGUGGCCUGCAUUUGAAACUGUAGGUCUUGAGUACUGGAGAGGCAGACGGAAUUCCUAGGGUAGCGGUGAAAUGCGUAGAGAUUAGGAGGAACACCAGUGGCGAAGGCGGUCUGCUGGACAGCAACUGACGCUGAGGCGCGAAAGCGUGGGGAGCAAACAGGAUUAGAUACCCUUGUAGUC